RNAcentral lists this long non-coding RNA (785 nucleotides) under Olea europaea subsp. europaea. Lineage: Eukaryota; Viridiplantae; Streptophyta; Magnoliopsida; Lamiales; Oleaceae. The record is from RNAcentral.
UGGUUACUAUUCACAAGCCAUUUUUUCUCGACUAAGAAGCCAAAUUUGUGGUCAGCUAAGCCAUUAGUUUUUUGGGUGGGAGUCUUCUUUUGGUUUCUAGAAUUCAUUUCCUACCUUGUUUUCUCUUCCCUAUUUGAAAAUCUUUUCUUCUUUCAUUUUCAUGACAGCCAUCCCGUCUUGGCUUGCAAUUUAUUUCCUGGCUUGUUUUUCUCUCCCCUCUUUGUAGAUCUGAAAAUCCAAUUGAAUUUGUUCAUUUACUAGCCCGAUCCCUCAUAUUCAUUGUUAUUAACGCCUGUGGAGCAUUUUUGAGUUUAGUGAAGGUUAAUUAAAGCUCGAUACAGGUGCAAUCGUAAAAGCAUUUUUUUGUUACCCUUUUAAAGGAUUGGAUUCUUGUACAUGGUUUUGUCUUAAACUUAAUUUGUAUGAAGUUUUUUUCUUGUAUGCUACUUCAGUUCAGGGAAAUGACUGGUUUUAAAUCGUGGGCUUGAUUAUUUAAAUGUCCUUUUUCUGAAUGUGAUGAUUUCUUCGUAGUUUUGGCUUAUGUUUUGAGAACAUAUUCAAGUAAAGCUGUUAUUUUUUCUUUGCAUAUUUGAAAAUUUUUAUAGUUGUUUCUCAUUGCUUCUUUUGGUUUGCAUUUAUUUUAUGAUUGGAAAGCAAUGCUCCUUAUUGCUUCUUUGGGUUUGCAUUUGGUUUUUGAUUGGAAAGCAAACAUGCAACUAAUUGAAGUGUAGAACAAGGAAAAAUGAGUGGAAAAUUCGGCUGAAUUAUUUCAUUAGAGACUACUG